GACGAACGCUGGCGGCGUGCUUAACACAUGCAAGUCGAACGGAAAGGCCCUGCUUUUGUGGGGUGCUCGAGUGGCGAACGGGUGAGUAACACGUGAGUAACCUGCCCUUGACUUUGGGAUAACUUCAGGAAACUGGGGCUAAUACCGGAUAGGAGCUCCUGCUGCAUGGUGGGGGUUGGAAAGUUUCGGCGGUUGGGGAUGGACUCGCGGCUUAUCAGCUUGUUGGUGGGGUAGUGGCUUACCAAGGCUUUGACGGGUAGCCGGCCUGAGAGGGUGACCGGCCACAUUGGGACUGAGAUACGGCCCAGACUCCUACGGGAGGCGGCAGUGGGGAAUAUUGCACAAUGGGCGGAAGCCUGAUGCAGCAACGCCGCGUGCGGGAUGACGGCCUUCGGGUUGUAAACCGCUUUCGCCUGUGACGAAGCGUGAGUGACGGUAAUGGGUAAAGAAGCACCGGCGAACUACG
This 466-nucleotide ribosomal RNA is filed under the name uncultured bacterium. RNAcentral's name for it is "partial 16S ribosomal RNA". It matches the Rfam family "Bacterial small subunit ribosomal RNA", at positions 28 to 505 of the family's 1533-position model. The record is from RNAcentral.